CCUACGGGAGGCAGCAGUGAGGAAUAUUGGUCAAUGGGCGCGAGCCUGAACCAGCCAAGUAGCGUGAAGGAUGACUGCCCUACGGGUUGUAAACUUCUUUUAUAAAGGAAUAAAGUGAGGCACGUGUGCCUUUUUGUAUGUACUUUAUGAAUAAGGAUCGGCUAACUCCGUGCCAGCAGCCGCGGUAAUACGGAGGAUGCGAGCGUUAUCCGGAUUUAUUGGGUUUAAAGGGUGCGUAGGCGGCCUUUUAAGUCAGCGGUGAAAGUCGGUGGCUCAACCAUCGAAUUGCCGUUGAAACUGGGUCGCUUGAGUAUGCUAGAGGCAGGCGGAAUGCGUGGUGUAGCGGUGAAAUGCUUAGAUAUCACGCAGAACCCCGAUUGCGAAGGCAGCCUACCAAGCCAUGACUGACGCUGAUGCACGAAAGCGUGGGGAUCAAACAGGAUUAGAUACCCCUGUAGUC
This 460-nucleotide ribosomal RNA is filed under the name uncultured bacterium. RNAcentral describes it as "partial 16S ribosomal RNA". It matches the Rfam family "Bacterial small subunit ribosomal RNA", at positions 338 to 795 of the family's 1533-position model. The record is from RNAcentral.